CCUUGAAAAAUGCGUCCGCCGCAGGUUUGACAUCCAAACCUACCCUGAAAAAGGGCCAAACGGGAGAAGCUGUCAUUCUGACGAGACGUUGUGGUUUGUGCUCGUGAGCGCCUCUCUCAGUUGGGUGAGGGGCGAGCUCGAGUCCCCUGGCUUUGGGGGGACUCCGGUGAGGUUUGGGGGGUGGGCUGGACAGGAUCCCCUUGCAAUCCCCGAGUCCAACCUGGGGGCAAGGGACGAAGGGGCUCCCAGGAAGGACAGCUCCGUCCUCUUGCGGCUCUGCGGCUUCACCAUAGCGUAGCUUUGAGGCUAAAGGCUGAAAGGUAUCAGACGCGUCUCCUCUCAAGGAAGUGUUGCUCAUUUCAGUGGGGUUACUCCUAAGAGAAAAAUUUUGCUCACACAUAAUCAGAAGCAAGUGUGAGAUAUUUUAACACCAUAGAUGAUGUCUAACAACAUUUCUUACUGGUUUUGCAAGUAAACAGUAGCUUCCUUGACACUGCUUGUUAUCUAGAGGCAGCUCAUCAGAGACAUCAAUUUACUGCUGUUUUGGUUACAUUAGCAAUGGCACUCUCUUCUUGAAUUUUGGAAAUGGAGGAAAUUAUGACACAUGGCAGAUUUCUAGAGAGCUAUGUGUGGAUACUCCUUGCAUAAAAUGGAGGCUAAGCAUCCUGUGAGGAAUCAACCACGAAUAAGAAGCAGGAAGAGUUCAUUGCAUAGGAGGAUCUUUCAAUAUUUUUAAGAGGAGCAAGCAGCAGUUGAGACAAGUUAAUGAGGAGUCUGAUUUCAAUCAUGACUUCUUGAAUCUCCAAACAAACCAACAAAGGCAGCUCAUGGACCAAGUGGGUACAAUCUCAUUCUAAUACUUCAAGAGCAUAUAUAUCUGCUUUUCUGGUCAUGACCUGGCUAUGCAUGUGAAGCAGAAAUCUAUAGUCUGGCAGCAGUUGUGCUCCACAAGAGGUCAGAACUAGUGAGGCAGAGACUCUAAAAGCAUUUGGCUGCUUUUUGUUUCGAGUGUGCCAGAAGAUAAUUAAUUGUAGCCACUGCUGCUGGGGUUAUCCAACAGCCUCCACCUCUUCAUCAAGGAAAGUUCUGCCAGAUGAAAAAGAUGACAGUAUAAUUCCACUUUUAAAAGUUGCUGAUAAGAGAAUUUCAGUAGCAGUUUCAAAUGCAUCUUUAGAAAAAAAAAUGUAAGAUUAACAUCCUUUGUUAUUUCAGUUCUGCACUAAAUAAUUUGGAAGUCAUCAAGUUUGGUUCCUGGGACUAGAGACGGUGAUUGGGAAAGCUACAAUGAAAUGUAAUGAAACAAGGAAGUGGGUUCAACAGAGCUGCACAAUUUCCUGCCCAAAUACAAAAUUAGUCUGGAGAAGUUGGGUAUACUUGUCAUUGGCUAGAAUGUGCUGUUAUCUUUUGAUCAAAAGAUGGUCUGACUUCUAGAUUCCAGAAAGAGAAAACAUGUUACAACGUAACUAUGCAUCUGCCUAAAUUGUGUUAUUAUUAUCUAGUGUAUUUUCUUCACAUUGUUUACUAAACAGAGAUUAUUACCAUGGUAAUUCUGUCAUUACAUGGCACAUGUAUAGCUGCAAGCUACAAGAACACCAGUUGUUUGCAGUUUUUUGCCUUUGGCUUAAGAAUUUAAAAUCAUUUACAACAGUCUUUCAGGAGAGAAUAGAGUUAUUGUGAAUAAAUAUUUAGAACUGGUAGUAGAAAAUGUCGGUCUCUUCUCAAAAUAUUUGCAUUGUAUCUGUAGUGACAGAAGAACAUCAUGUCAUCUAGCUUCUCUGUGUCUCCAAUGCUGUGCUUUGCUAGUGGUUAAAAUCCUUAAUUCCUACUUGGGAGGAGAUGGAAUAAAUAACAUAGUAUUUUGUCAAAGGCAAAUAUAUGCAGCAUAUUUAUCUUCCACAAAUGGUAAAGCUGCCAGAUCCUUGGAACUUCUGCCCAGGACUACUCUUCUAGCAUGCAAAUGCUUAAUAUGGCUUGCUGAUCUCAUGACAUCAAUCAAUUCUGAUCUUGUUUUCCUGCUUGCAGUUAUAUAUUAUUAAUGAGAUUCUGCAUACAAUUUUUUCUAUAAAACAUAUGAUAAUGUCUUUAAUUGCUGUUAUCACAGUGGUCUACAGUGCCACUGUAACUGUGCUUUGUGUUUAUCUUAGGGUAUGGCUACACUAGAACCAGGGAGAAGCUAGUGUGUGCUGCCUAUGAAUGGUCAGACUUGACUAGAAGAAUCUAAUCAAGCCUAACUGUUCAUAUGGAAAUGACUCCUGCCAAUAUUGUGAAGCGGCUUAAUUGGUGAGCUACUUCAGGAUAUUGGCAAAUUAAUCACUUUCACUACUUAGCAGAAAAAAUUAAAAAUCUUUCCCUUGCCUUCUCUUAAAUGGCCAGUUGAGAAACUGCCUGCAGCCAAAGGCACUGCCAUAGAUUCGACUGUGGGUGGUUUUUCAACUAGCCCUCUGAGGCAAUUAAAAAAAAUUAGCUGAUAUUUUUUAAAAA
This is a non-coding RNA of Pogona vitticeps (central bearded dragon), 2481 nucleotides long. The record is from RefSeq and is a predicted model, not a curated record. Lineage: Eukaryota; Metazoa; Chordata; Lepidosauria; Squamata; Agamidae.